This is a long non-coding RNA of Rhodamnia argentea, 241 nucleotides long. RefSeq lists it as uncharacterized. The record is from RefSeq and is a predicted model, not a curated record. NCBI's taxonomy places the organism in Eukaryota, Viridiplantae, Streptophyta, Magnoliopsida, Myrtales, Myrtaceae. The transcript has 3 exons.
CCGUUCAACUCGAUCUUUCAAACGUCCAUUGGCCCAUCUGGGUUGCUCCCGGCAUUUCUCCUCGUCAAGGUCUUCUAAGAGUCCAUCUGGAAUUUUUUUUUAUGUUCCCAAGGGAACGACAAAUGUCUGGCCAAUCUGCUAAUAAAACUCGGCUUGGUGAGGCAGUUUCAAAGGUUAGCUUGAAUCGUCUUUUGGACUUGAUUUUAUCUUCGCCUAACUUGUUCGCUUUGAGUCUCACAGC